RNAcentral lists this small nucleolar RNA (96 nucleotides) under Hordeum vulgare subsp. vulgare (domesticated barley). Its description in RNAcentral is "Small nucleolar RNA Z159/U59". It matches the Rfam family "Small nucleolar RNA Z159/U59". From Rfam's summary of the family: This family consists of several snoRNA Z159 or U59 sequences which are members of the C/D class of snoRNA which contain the C (UGAUGA) and D (CUGA) box motifs. This family seems to be found exclusively in rice. C/D box small nucleolar RNAs are known to act as a methylation guides for 18S ribosomal RNA in plants. The record is from Rfam by way of RNAcentral. Lineage: Eukaryota; Viridiplantae; Streptophyta; Magnoliopsida; Poales; Poaceae.
CUUUCUGAUGAUGAUUAAUCUAAAUACUUUUGUUCUUCUGAUAUGCUAUUUCAUAGUGCUGUGCGGAGGCAAUUUGGAGACCUGAACUGAGGAAAU